Sorex fumeus (smoky shrew) is the source of this 103-nucleotide small nuclear RNA. The record is from RefSeq and is a predicted model, not a curated record. NCBI's taxonomy places the organism in Eukaryota, Metazoa, Chordata, Mammalia, Eulipotyphla, Soricidae.
UUGCUUCAGCAGCAUAUAUACUAGAAUUGGAAUGAUACGGAGAAGAUUAGCAUGGCCCCUGCGCAUGGAUGAUAUGCAAAUUCAUAAAGCAUUCCAUAUUUUU